Ribosomal RNA from Firmicutes bacterium CAG:345, 1530 nucleotides. It matches the Rfam family "Bacterial small subunit ribosomal RNA". Lineage: Bacteria; Bacillati; Bacillota. The record is from Rfam.
CUUUUUGAGAGUUCGAUCCUGGCUCAGGAUUAACGCUGGCGGCGUGCCUAAUACAUGCAAGUCGAGCGAGGAAAGUAGCAAUACUUUUCGAGCGGCGAACGGGUGAGUAACACGUUGGGAAUCUACCCCUGAGACCGGAAUACCUGGAAGAAAUUUCAGCUAAUGCCGGAUACGUGGUCAACACAGAAGUGAUGAUCAUAAAAGGCGGCCUUAAAGCCGCGCUGAGGGAUGAACCUGCGGCGCAUUAGCUAGUUGGUGAGAUAAAAGCCCACCAAGGCGAGGAUGCGUAGCCGACCUGAGAGGGUGAACGGCCACACUGGAACUGAGACACGGUCCAGACUCCUACGGGAGGCAGCAGUAGGGAGUAUUCGGCAAUGGGGGAAACCCUGACCGAGCAACGCCGCGUGAAUGAUGAAGGUCUUCGGAUUGUAAAAUUCUGAGGUAAGAGAAGAAAGAUAUAAAGAGGAAAUGCUUUGUAUUUGACGGUAUCUUGCUAGAAAGCCACGGCUAACUACGUGCCAGCAGCCGCGGUAAUACGUAGGUGGCAAGCGUUAUCCGGAAUUACUGGGCGUAAAGAGUGAGCAGGCGGUUAGAUAAGUCUAUGGUUAAAUGCAACAGCUCAACUGUUGUUCGCUAUAGAAACUAUUUAACUAGAGUGCGGGAGAGGUAAGUGGAACUCCAUAUGUAGCGGUGGAAUGCUUAGAUAUAUGGAAGAACACCAGAGGCGAAGGCGGCUUACCAGUCCGUAACUGACGCUCAGUCACGAAAGCGUGGGGAGCAAAUAGGAUUAGAUAUCCUAGUAGUCCACGCCGUAAACGAUGAGAACCUGAUGCAGGAGAUAUUCUGUGUCGAAGCUAACGCGUUAAGUUCUCCGCCUGGGUACUACGUUCGCAAGAAUAAAACUUAAAGGAAUUGACGGGCGCCCGCACAAGCAGUGGAGCAUGGGGUUUAAUUCGUCGAUACACGAAAAACCUUACCAGGGCUUGACAUCCCGCUAAAAGCCUUAGAAAUAAGGAAAUAGUUAUAGCGGUGACAGGUGGUGCAUGGUUGUCGUCAGCUCGUGCCGUGAGGUGUUAGGUUAAGUCCUCAAACGAGCGCAACCCUUGUCUUUAGUUGCCAUUAUUAAUUUAGGAACUCUAGAGAGACUGCCGGCGCAAGCCGGAGGAAGGCGGGGAUGACGUCAAAUCAGCAUGCCCUUUAUGCCCUGGGCCACACCCGUGCUACAAUGGUCGGUACAAAGAGAAGCAACACUGUGAGGUGAAGCAAAUCCCAUAAAGCCGAUCUCAAUUCGGAUUGAAGUCUGCAACUCGACUUCAUGAAGCUGGAAUUGCUAGUAAUCGCAGAUCAGCAACGCUGCGGUGAAUACGUUCUCGGGCGUUGUACACACUGCCCGUCACACCAUGAGAGCCGGUAAUACUCGAAGUCGUUAGCCUAACCGUAAGGAGGGCGGCGCCUAAGGUAGGACUGGUGAUUGGGGUUAAGUCGUAACAAGGUAUCCCUACGAGAACGUGGGGAUGGAUCACCUCCUUU